CAAUCCGGCGAACAAUACUCUCAAAGUUUGACCUCAAAUCAGGUAGGAAUACCCGCUGAACUUAAGCAUAUCAAUAAGCGGAGGAAAAGAAACCAACCGGGAUUGCCUUAGUAACGGCGAGUGAAGCGGCAAAAGCUCAAAUUUGAAAUCUGGUACCUUCGGUGCCCGAGUUGUAAUUUGUAGAAGGUAACUUUGGGGCUGGUCCUUGUCUAUGUUCCUUGGAACAGGACGUCAUAGAGGGUGAGAAUCCCGUGUGGCGAGGAUCCCAGUUCUUUGUAAAGUGCUUUCGAAGAGUCGAGUUGUUUGGGAAUGCAGCUCUAAGUGGGUGGUAAAUUCCAUCUAAAGCUAAAUAUUGGCGAGAGACCGAUAGCGAACAAGUACAGUGAUGGAAAGAUGAAAAGAACUUUGAAAAGAGAGUGAAAAAGUACGUGAAAUUGUUGAAAGGGAAGGGCAUUUGAUCAGACAUGGUGUUUUGCGCCCUCUGCUCCUUGUGGGUGGGGGAAUCUCGCAGCUCACUGGGCCAGCAUCAGUUUUGGCGGCAGGAUAAAUCUGCAGGAAUGUAGCUUGCCUCGGUAAGUGUUAUAUCCUGUAGAAAUACUGCCAGCUGGGACUGAGGACUGCGACUUUACGUCAAGGAUGCUGGCAG
This 646-nucleotide ribosomal RNA is filed under the name Torulaspora delbrueckii. RNAcentral describes it as "LSU rRNA". It matches the Rfam family "Eukaryotic large subunit ribosomal RNA", at positions 1 to 632 of the family's 3401-position model. Lineage: Eukaryota; Fungi; Ascomycota; Saccharomycetes; Saccharomycetales; Saccharomycetaceae. The record is from RNAcentral.